UGCAAGUCGAGCGAACAGAUAAGGAGCUUGCUCCUUUGACGUUAGCGGCGGACGGGUGAGUAACACGUGGGUAACCUACCUAUAAGACUGGGAUAACUUCGGGAAACCGGAGCUAAUACCGGAUAACAUUUGGAACCGCAUGGUUCUAAAGUGAAAGAUGGUUUUGCUAUCACUUAUAGAUGGACCCGCGCCGUAUUAGCUAGUUGGUAAGGUAACGGCUUACCAAGGCGACGAUACGUAGCCGACCUGAGAGGGUGAUCGGCCACACUGGAACUGAGACACGGUCCAGACUCCUACGGGAGGCAGCAGUAGGGAAUCUUCCGCAAUGGGCGAAAGCCUGACGGAGCAACGCCGCGUGAGUGAUGAAGGGUUUCGGCUCGUAAAACUCUGUUAUUAGGGAAGAACAAAUGUGUAAGUAACUGUGCACGUCUUGACGGUACCUAAUCAGAAAGCCACGGCUAACUACGUGCCAGCAGCCGCGGUAAUACGUAGGUGGCAAGCGUUAUCCGGAAUUAUUGGGCGUAAAGCGCGCGUAGGCGGUUUCUUAAGUCUGAUGUGAAAGCCCACGGCUCAACCGUGGAGGGUCAUUGGAAACUGGGAAACUUGAGUGCAGAAGAGGAAAGUGGAAUUCCAUGUGUAGCGGUGAAAUGCGCAGAGAUAUGGAGGAACACCAGUGGCGAAGGCGACUUUCUGGUCUGUAACUGACGCUGAUGUGCGAAAGCGUGGGGAUCAAACAGGAUUAGAUACCCUGGUAGUCCACGCCGUAAACGAUGAGUGCUAAGUGUUAGGGGGUUUCCGCCCCUUAGUGCUGCAGCUAACGCAUUAAGCACUCCGCCUGGGGAGUACGACCGCAAGGUUGAAACUCAAAGGAAUUGACGGGGACCCGCACAAGCGGUGGAGCAUGUGGUUUAAUUCGAAGCAACGCGAAGAACCUUACCAAAUCUUGACAUCCUUUGAAAACUCUAGAGAUAGAGCUUUCCCCUUCGGGGGACAAAGUGACAGGUGGUGCAUGGUUGUCGUCAGCUCGUGUCGUGAGAUGUUGGGUUAAGUCCCGCAACGAGCGCAACCCUUAAGCUUAGUUGCCAUCAUUAAGUUGGGCACUCUAGGUUGACUGCCGGUGACAAACCGGAGGAAGGUGGGGAUGACGUCAAAUCAUCAUGCCCCUUAUGAUUUGGGCUACACACGUGCUACAAUGGACAAUACAAAGGGCAGCUAAACCGCGAGGUCAUGCAAAUCCCAUAAAGUUGUUCUCAGUUCGGAUUGUAGUCUGCAACUCGACUACAUGAAGCUGGAAUCGCUAGUAAUCGUAGAUCAGCAUGCUACGGUGAAUACGUUCCCGGGUCUUGUACACACCGCCCGUCACACCACGAGAGUUUGUAACACCCGAAGCCGGUGGAGUAACCAUUUAUGGAGCUAGCCGUC
This 1422-nucleotide ribosomal RNA is filed under the name Staphylococcus pseudoxylosus. RNAcentral's name for it is "bacterial SSU rRNA". It matches the Rfam family "Bacterial small subunit ribosomal RNA". The record is from RNAcentral. Lineage: Bacteria; Bacillati; Bacillota; Bacilli; Caryophanales; Staphylococcaceae.